This 907-nucleotide long non-coding RNA is filed under the name Homo sapiens (human). Its description in RNAcentral is "HSALNT0275062". The record is from RNAcentral. Lineage: Eukaryota; Metazoa; Chordata; Mammalia; Primates; Hominidae.
GCUCACUGCAGCCUCAACCUCCUGGGUUCAAGCCAUCCUCUUGCCUGAGCCUCCUGAGUAGGGGAAACUACAGGUGUGUGCCACCACCACACCCAACUAAUUUUAAAAUUAUUUGUAGAGAGAGGGCUUCCCUGUGUUGCUCAGGCUGGUCUCAAACUCCUGGACUCAAGUGAUCCUUCUGCCUUGACCUACCAAAGUGCUGGGAUAAGAGGCCCCAGAUGCUUUAAACUGACAGGUAAGGUCAUUUGUGGUCUGGCCAACUCAUGCCUGCUCCCCACCUGCAGCUCCAAACUCUGGUCCUCACAAGUGCCUUUAGCUCACCCAAUGUUUCCUGCUGUCUUGAUUGCCUUUAGUCCUUCACACAACGAGGCAAUGUCCUUAGUUUCUCUGAUCCCCAUUUCACCUAGGUCAUUCCUUCAGGUCUCAGCUGACUGUCUUCAUCUUGCCGUCGCCAACCUCCCCAGAGAAGGCUGGAUGCCCCUGUGCUGGCCCCUGCCUAGGUCAUUGCGACGCGCUUUGAGCCCAGCACAACACACAGCACUCAGUGCACUGGUGAACACAGGGGUCCAGAAGAGAUGAAAGGACCUAACAGCAGCCAGCAGAAAAGCAGAGGAAGGAGGAGAGAGAAAGCCUGAGAGUCAGAGAGGGGUGAAAGGGUGUGAUCCUGAGUAGAUGACAGGGCACAGAUGGGAGCUAUGAGCUGUGUGUGACACACGCUGGGUCCCUGUGGCAGAUGCAAGUGAUCCAUCUGUAGCUUAUUCUUAGGAAGUGUGAAAUCAGUGUCAGGAGAGAAGGGAGCUGAAGCUAGCAACUGAAGAGUCAGCCUGGGAGAGGACGGAGAGAGAACAUGCAGAGGAGAGGGAGCAAGCAGGAGGGGUUACAGGACCAGGACAAGGGCAGCAGUUUU